UUCUUAAUUGGCUAUCGAUUAUUUCGUCCCUCAUUGAUGGAUCGAACAUUAUCACUUUCGCUGGAACUUCUAGCAUUUCGCGCAUCCUUCUUGUUUCUCUAGUGCCUCCUCCACUGAGUCCUGGUCAUGGGGUGUUUUCCCAUGUAAUUCUGGGAGACAUAAGAGUAUUUCUUUGAAACUUGAGAAUUAUCUCGAUACGAGACGCCAACAUCAAUGUUCAUAACUUUCCAUU
RNAcentral lists this long non-coding RNA (232 nucleotides) under Lathyrus oleraceus (garden pea). RNAcentral's name for it is "Pisum sativum (pea) long non-coding RNA (PSAT_LNC001681)". Lineage: Eukaryota; Viridiplantae; Streptophyta; Magnoliopsida; Fabales; Fabaceae. The record is from RNAcentral.